GUUCACUUAUUGGAAACAUUCGUUGUCUUACUCAAUGGUUCGGUAUCUACUAUGAAUACUUUGUGUUCUCUCAGGACAUAUAAAUGCACUUUCAAGCCUAUUUGUUCUUUAGGGAAAUCAAUAUUAAAAAUCGGAAGACUUAUUUUUCAAUCACCAAGUCUAAAAACAGCAGGCUUUUCAAGUUUUUUAAAAAGUCUUAAAAGCUUUUUUCUUCUUGUCGAUAAGCUUACUCUUGAGGAGUUGUCAUCGUGUUAUCGUUUCCCUAUAAUAUGUGAUAAAAACUGCAAAGAAAUAUUUUCUUUAUAUAUUACAACAGAAUCCGACAUAGACCAAAAGAUGUUGAUUUAUGAAAUUUUUUCCAUUG
Molecule: long non-coding RNA, 364 nt
Organism: Octopus sinensis (East Asian common octopus)
Lineage: Eukaryota; Metazoa; Mollusca; Cephalopoda; Octopoda; Octopodidae
Exons: 3
Source: RefSeq, a predicted model, not a curated record